This 404-nucleotide ribosomal RNA is filed under the name uncultured bacterium. Its description in RNAcentral is "bacterial SSU rRNA". It matches the Rfam family "Bacterial small subunit ribosomal RNA", at positions 28 to 435 of the family's 1533-position model. The record is from RNAcentral.
GACGAACGCUGGCGGCGUGCUUAACACAUGCAAGUCGAGCGGUAAGGCCCUUUCGGGGGUACACGAGCGGCGAACGGGUGAGUAACACGUGGGUGACCUGCCCUCAGCUCUGGGAUAAGCCUGGGAAACUGGGUCUAAUACUGGAUAUGACUCCACGGUGCAUGUCGUGGGGUGGAAAGCCUUGUGCGGCUGAGGAUGGGCCCGCGGCCUAUCAGCUUGUUGGUGGGGUGANGGCCUACCAAGGCGACGACGGGUAGCCGGCCUGAGAGGGCGACCGGCCACACUGGGACUGAGACACGGCCCAGACUCCUACGGGAGGCAGCAGUGGGGAAUCUUGCGCAAUGGGCGAAAGCCUGACGCAGCGACGCCGCGUGAGGGAUGACGGCCUGGUGUAACUACUUCUA